This 492-nucleotide ribosomal RNA is filed under the name uncultured bacterium. RNAcentral describes it as "partial 16S ribosomal RNA". It matches the Rfam family "Bacterial small subunit ribosomal RNA", at positions 29 to 507 of the family's 1533-position model. The record is from RNAcentral.
AGUGAACGCUGGCGGUAGGCCUAACACAUGCAAGUCGAACGGCAGCACAGUAAGAGCUUGCUCUUACGGGUGGCGAGUGGCGGACGGGUGAGGAAUACAUCGGAAUCUACUUUUUCGUGGGGGAUAACGUAGGGAAACUUACGCUAAUACCGCAUACGACCUACGGGUAAAAGCAGGGGAUCUUCGGACCUUGCGCGAUUGAAUGAGCCGAUGUCGGAUUAGCUAGUUGGCGGGGUAAAGGCCCACCAAGGCGACGAUCCGUAGCCGGUCUGAGAGGAUGAUCAGCCACACUGGAACUGAGACACGGUCCAGACUCCUACGGGAGGCAGCAGUGGGGAAUAUUGGACAAAGGGCGCAAGCCUGAUCCAGCCAUACCGCGUGGGUGAAGAAGGCCUUCGGGUUGUAAAGCCCUUUUGUUGGGAAAGAAAAGCAGCAGGUUAAUACCCCGCUGUUCUGACGGUACCCAAAGAAUAAGCACCGGCUAACUUCGUG